GUCCCCGUGCGGUGAUCCGUCUCCUCUCCACCCCUGCGAUGACCUAACCCAUAGCCCCUGCCCACCCCCUCCGCCGCCGGCGCCGGUGCCUCGAAGGUCAAGGGAAGACCCUCUACUCGGCCCCCAUCGCCGUCCGCGCCGCCGCCCUAUGCCGCCGCCACCACCGCCGUCCAAAUCGCCACCCCCAUAGCCGUCCAAACUGCUCUCGGCAACACCUCUCCAUCCCACGGCUGCCGAAGACAGGGAGGAGGACGAGGCUGGCUAGGCAGGGAGGCCGAGGGUGAAGUGCAGUGGGAGGCGCAUCGGUUAGUGCAGAGGGAGGUCUAUGGUCAGCUCAUUGGAAUCUCACAGGCCACCACGGGGAGAGCAAUCACGCAGGCACAUCAACCUCCCCCACCAGGUAUGUUCAAUUGAACCUUCACUAUUAGUUGAGCUAACCGUCUCCAACAGCAACGUCCCAAUCACAAAUAAUUAUUUAGGUUUCUUACUGUGUGCGUGGAUGGGGCAUCGGAAGGAUAGAUGGCAGUACUCGUGUGGAUGCAACAACUGACUAUGUUGUGGUGUUCAGGAAGGAGCGCAGAUACAGCAGCUGUCCAUCUGCAACCGCGGCCACGGGUGCCUAAUCUAACGCGACCUCCUGUUUUGACAUCGUCCUUGGUAGCUGCAAGCGUGGAAACAACCUUGGCAGUGCAGCGGCAGCCAUGAGGUUG
RNAcentral lists this ribosomal RNA (710 nucleotides) under Triticum aestivum (bread wheat). RNAcentral's name for it is "partial small subunit ribosomal RNA". Lineage: Eukaryota; Viridiplantae; Streptophyta; Magnoliopsida; Poales; Poaceae. The record is from RNAcentral.